CCUACGGGAGGCAGCAGUGAGGAAUAUUGGUCAAUGGCCGUAAGGCUGAACCAGCCAAGUCGCGUGAAGGAAGAAGGAUCUAUGGUUUGUAAACUUCUUUUAUAGGGGAAUAAAGGUAUCCACGUGUGGCUAUUUGCAUGUACCCUAUGAAUAAGCAUCGGCUAACUCCGUGCCAGCAGCCGCGGUAAUACGGAGGAUGCGAGCGUUAUCCGGAUUUAUUGGGGUUAAAGGUUGAGUAGGUUGUUUUUUAAGUCAGCGGUGAAAGUUUGUGGCUCAACCAUAAAAUUGCCGUUGAAACUGGAAGACUUGAGUGUGUUUGAGGUAGGCGGAAUGCGUGGUGUAGCGGUGAAAUGCAUAGAUAUCACGCAGAACUCCGAUUGCGAAGGCAGCUUACUAAACUGCCACUGACAUUGAUGCUCGAAAGUGUGGGUAUCAAACAGGAUUAGAUACCCCAGUAGUC
This 460-nucleotide ribosomal RNA is filed under the name uncultured bacterium. RNAcentral's name for it is "partial 16S ribosomal RNA". It matches the Rfam family "Bacterial small subunit ribosomal RNA", at positions 338 to 795 of the family's 1533-position model. The record is from RNAcentral.